Molecule: long non-coding RNA, 1094 nt
Organism: Rattus norvegicus (Norway rat)
Lineage: Eukaryota; Metazoa; Chordata; Mammalia; Rodentia; Muridae
Source: RefSeq, a predicted model, not a curated record
CUAGCGCAGGCGCCUGAAGCAGCUUCGGGCUCUUCAGGCUCCAGACGCUGUCCUGCUCUCACCCCUUGGAAACCGUGUGUCCAGCUGCCCCAAGGACACUUUCACUGCGCACGGUGCCCGGAGGUAUGUGUAAGCUGGUGCUGGUGGAGAUCAGAAGAGGAGGCCGAUUCCUCGGGAAUGGCUAUACAUAGUUGUGAGCUACCCUGUGGGUCUUCAGCAAGAACAAGUGCUCUUAACCCCCAAGCCACCUCUCUGGUUCUCAGUCACAAGGCUGGAAUUUAACGUUAAAGAAAACUUGGAGAUUUACUAUGGCACAUGGAUUUGCCUUUUACAGACUCCUGGGAGAAGCAGGUGCUGACCAUGAGGAAAUGGAUAGUCAUGCCCUUGGAACUUUUGAAAACCUUUCUUCAAAUGGCGUCACAUGGAUACAAUUCUCAUAAAAGCUGUAUGGCCAAUGGUCAAAUAAGGAAACAAUAGAAACAUGCUGGGAAGGUCCAACUUUGCUCACCCUGCUGACAGACCCACCUGUGCAGCACUCUUGGAAAUGCUUUAUCCUCUGAUUUUAGAACUAACUUCCUUCCUUCCUUCCUUCCUUCCUCCCUCCCUCCCUCCCUCCCUCCCUCCCUCCCUUCCUUCUUCUCUUCCUCUUCCUCUUCCUCCUCUUCUUCCUCCUCCCCCACUCCUCCUUCUCCCUUUUCUUCUUGUUAACCUUUAUUUACUUGUGGUGGUGAUGGUGUGUUUAUGUGUAUCACAGGACAACUCGUGAGAGUCAGUUCUCUUCUACCAGUUGAGUCUGAGUUGAACUUGGUGGCGAGUGCCUUUAUCUGAUGAACCAUCUCACAAGCUCUAUUUGGGAACUUUUUUAGCAAAAAGACAGGACCUAGGUGGAUGACCUUCUCAGCCCUGCCAAUGAUCUAGACCAGGAGGCAGUAAUUAUAGUAUUUGUAUUUUCCCCACUGCACUAAGAACAAUGAAUAUGUCCAACAAUCACCAAAGUCUGUCUGGCCCCUUUCAGUUGCUGACUUUGUAAAGGAAGAUGGAGUGGCAUUGCUAGUUAAUAAAAUAAAUCUCAAUCUUUGUAUUCUUCAUACCCA